RNAcentral lists this ribosomal RNA (346 nucleotides) under Salmonella enterica subsp. enterica serovar Stanley. RNAcentral describes it as "partial 23S ribosomal RNA". It matches the Rfam family "Bacterial large subunit ribosomal RNA", at positions 631 to 977 of the family's 2925-position model. Lineage: Bacteria; Pseudomonadati; Pseudomonadota; Gammaproteobacteria; Enterobacterales; Enterobacteriaceae. The record is from RNAcentral.
UAUUCUGUAGCAAGGUUAACCGAAUAGGGGAGCCGGAGGGAAACCGAGUCUUAAUUGGGCGUUAAGUUGCAGGGUAUAGACCCGAAACCCGGUGAUCUAGCCAUGGGCAGGUUGAAGGUUGGGUAACACUAACUGGAGGACCGAACCGACUAAUGUUGAAAAAUUAGCGGAUGACCUGUGGCUGGGGGUGAAAGGCCAAUCAAACCGGGAGAUAGCUGGUUCUCCCCGAAAGCUAUUUAGGUAGCGCCUCGUGAAUUCAUCUCCGGGGGUAGAGCACUGUUUCGGCUAGGGGGCCAUCCCGGCUUACCAACCCGAUGCAAACUGCGAAUACCGGAGAAUGUUAUCA